UACGUAGGGUGCAAGCGUUGUCCGGAAUUAUUGGGCGUAAAGAGCUCGUAGGCGGUUUGUCGCGUCGAAUGUGAAAACCCGGGGCUCAACCCCGGGCCUGCAUUCGAUACGGGCAGACUAGAGUUCGGUAGGGGAGUCUGGAAUUCCUGGUGUAGCGGUGGAAUGCGCAGAUAUCAAGGAGGAACACCGGUGGCGAAGGCGGGUCUCUGGGCUGUAACUGACGCUGAGGAGCGAAAGCGUGGGUAGCGAACAGG
RNAcentral lists this ribosomal RNA (254 nucleotides) under uncultured bacterium. Its description in RNAcentral is "partial 16S ribosomal RNA". It matches the Rfam family "Bacterial small subunit ribosomal RNA", at positions 524 to 776 of the family's 1533-position model. The record is from RNAcentral.